RNAcentral lists this ribosomal RNA (550 nucleotides) under bacterium enrichment culture clone PF-1_20. RNAcentral describes it as "bacterial SSU rRNA". It matches the Rfam family "Bacterial small subunit ribosomal RNA", at positions 163 to 708 of the family's 1533-position model. The record is from RNAcentral.
UUAAUACCGCAUACGAUCUGUGGAUGAAAGCGGGGGAUCGCAAGACCUCGCGCUAUUGGGGUGGCCGAUGGCGGAUUAGCUAGUUGGUGGGGUAAAGGCCUACCAAGGCGACGAUCCGUAGCUGGUCUGAGAGGACGACCAGCCACACUGGGACUGAGACACGGCCCAGACUCCUACGGGAGGCAGCAGUGGGGAAUUUUGGACAAUGGGCGCAAGCCUGAUCCAGCAAUGCCGCGUGUGUGAAGAAGGCCUUCGGGUUGUAAAGCACUUUUGUCCGGAAAGAAAUCCUUUUCGAUAAUACCGAGAGGGGAUGACGGUACCGGAAGAAUAAGCACCGGCUAACUACGUGCCAGCAGCCGCGGUAAUACGUAGGGUGCGAGCGUUAAUCGGAAUUACUGGGCGUAAAGCGUGCGCAGGCGGUGAUGCAAGACCGAUGUGAAAUCCCCGGGCUUAACCUGGGAACUGCAUUGGUGACUGCAUCGCUAGAGUAUGGCAGAGGGGGGUAGAAUUCCACGUGUAGCAGUGAAAUGCGUAGAGAUGUGGAGGAAUA